GACGAACGCUGGCGGCGUGCUUAACACAUGCAAGUCGAACGGAAAGGCCCUGCUUGCAGGGUACUCGAGUGGCGAACGGGUGAGUAACACGUGGGUGAUCUGCCCUGCACUUCGGGAUAAGCCUGGGAAACUGGGUCUAAUACCGGAUAGGAGCCAUUUUUAGUGUGAUGGUUGGAAAGUUUUUUCGGUGUAGGAUGAGCUCGCGGCCUAUCAGCUUGUUGGUGGGGUAAUGGCCUACCAAGGCGGCGACGGGUAGCCGGCCUGAGAGGGUGGACGGCCACAUUGGGACUGAGAGACGGCCCAGACUCCUACGGGAGGCAGCAGGGGGGAAUAUUGCACAAUGGGCGCAAGCCUGAUGCAGCGACGCCGCGUGGGGGAUGACGGCCUUCGGGUUGUAAACUCCUUUCGCUAGGGACGAAGCUUUUUGUGACGGUACCUAGAGAAGAAGCACCGGCUAACUACGUG
RNAcentral lists this ribosomal RNA (465 nucleotides) under uncultured bacterium. Its description in RNAcentral is "partial 16S ribosomal RNA". It matches the Rfam family "Bacterial small subunit ribosomal RNA", at positions 28 to 507 of the family's 1533-position model. The record is from RNAcentral.